CCUACGGGAGGCUGCAGUGGGGAAUAUUGGACAAUGGGGGGAACCCUGAUCCAGCCAUGCCGCGUGUGUGAAGAAGGCCCUCGGGUUGUAAAGCACUUUCAGUGAGGAAGAACGCCUGGUGGUUAAUACCCAUCAGGAAAGACAUCACUCACAGAAGAAGCACCGGCUAACUCCGUGCCAGCAGCCGCGGUAAUACGGAGGGUGCGAGCGUUAAUCGGAAUUACUGGGCGUAAAGCGCGCGUAGGUGGCUUGAUAAGUCGGUUGUGAAAGCCCCGGGCUCAACCUGGGAACGGCAUCCGGAACUGUCAAGCUAGAGUGCAGGAGAGGAAGGUAGAAUUCCCGGUGUAGCGGUGAAAUGCGUAGAGAUCGGGAGGAAUACCAGUGGCGAAGGCGGCCUUCUGGACUGACACUGACACUGAGGUGCGAAAGCGUGGGUAGCAAACAGGAUUAGAUACCCUAGUAGUC
This 465-nucleotide ribosomal RNA is filed under the name Vreelandella stevensii. RNAcentral's name for it is "partial 16S ribosomal RNA". It matches the Rfam family "Bacterial small subunit ribosomal RNA", at positions 338 to 795 of the family's 1533-position model. Lineage: Bacteria; Pseudomonadati; Pseudomonadota; Gammaproteobacteria; Oceanospirillales; Halomonadaceae. The record is from RNAcentral.